Long non-coding RNA from Phascolarctos cinereus (koala), 2351 nucleotides. RefSeq lists it as uncharacterized. The record is from RefSeq and is a predicted model, not a curated record. Lineage: Eukaryota; Metazoa; Chordata; Mammalia; Diprotodontia; Phascolarctidae.
CGAGGGCCUGGAGAGUGUUGAACAACCUUCACAACAAGCAACUUCUCCGGUGGUUGCUACAAAAAUGUUUGCCAACAGCAAUGUAGGGGUGAGACUGCAGCUGUAGGCGAUAUUGACUGCGUGUACCUCGAGCGAGGGACAAAGAAGGUGGCUAGUGCUGUUUGCUCCCCUUGGAGCUGAGAAAGUGGAACGGCCGGGAGAAGAAAAGAGAAUAAGCUCUUUUUAUCCCUUUACUGAGCGGCUAUCAUUUGCUGUCAUUGGGGCGGAGAGUAAAAGCCAGAGCUACACACAAAGGAAGUAACCGGAAGAGCCUGUUUCAUACCCCAAAGGCAAGACUGCUUGUCAUCUGCUCCUCCUCCUAUCUUAGAACUCAAACAGCACUAGAACAGCAGCAAAGGGGGAGGGUGGAAGUGUAGAGAUAAGGUACUUAAAUGUGGAAUUGUUGUCAAUAAGAAAAUCACGUUUGGAUAAACGAAGUUUUAGGUAAAGUUCAAUGUUAUUCGCAAAAUAAUUAGAUGCAACGCAGGUGGUACCUUUGUCUUUGACAUCCUUAUGUUGCAUAUGUCUUGCCAUAAUUUGCCUCAACAUUUCCAAAGGAUGAAUCCUAAUAUGAGCAAAAUAUAGUAGCACUACAUAUAGACUACUUUCCCAUAUUUGGGUUGGGUACCCAGAAGGGUUACUGCUACUUUCAGGAUCUAGGAGUAACCUUGUGGGUCUACACAGUCCUAACACUGUAUGAAGCACCAGGAUGAUUGGCACUAACCCAAUAGACACAAUUAGCUCAAAGCAAAGGAAUUUACUAAGAUGACAAAACAAACAAAAAUCCCCAGCUAAAGUACGUUGUAUGUAUUUAUGGGAGACUGCAGCCUAGGAAGAGUGGGUUCAAAGUUAAGAGUAUAUUGGUAGCAGAGGCACACUUAUAGGAUACACAUGUGAUAAAAAGAACUCACAACUCCUGGUACUGCAGUGUCUGGAACACCUUUCUUUUGUAGAGAAUUCACACAUCUAUUGUGUGCAGCAUGUCUUCCGUUGUAUUGCCUAACUAGGUUUGCAGUCGGUUCUUCUCUAUAGCUCUACUCUGAAUUGCCAAGUCUUUGAGCUCUCCUGAAUCCAUAGCUGGUGCUCUUGUCUGCUUCCGGAGGUCCUUUCCUUGAAGCUGUUUUCUCCCUCUUCCUGCCUUGCUGUUUCUGUGACCACCUGGAAUGUAUCAUUUUUCCCUCAAUUAUGCCUCAAACUCUCUCAAACAGACCAACUCUGGAGCUGUUGGUUAGGGUAACACCCUCUAUGUAGGUCACUACAGGCUGCCAUUUACAACCUAGGAGAGAAAAAUUCCCUUUUCCCACUGUACAGUAUGUCGGUCACAAAUCAUUCUAAUGAUUGGACUUCCUCAAAUUUCAAGGCUUAGCCUGGAGCCCAAAGCCCUUUUAUUGACUGUAUUUGUUUGUUCUCUUAUAACUUAAUAUUUUGUAUACUGGUUGUGUCAUAACUUUGCACUUUAACAUCCUGGACAAAUUGGAGAAGGCAAGUAUGUUAAUGCUCUCUUGGUGACAUUGUGAAUUGGGCCAAACAUUGUGGAUCAUAAUUUAGAACUAUUCCAAAAGUAUCAGUAAACUAUAAUUAAUCUUUUACCUAAGGAAGUCAAGAACAGAGGGGAAGGCAGUAGUACAAAAAUACAGCAGCACUUUUUGUAGUAGUAAAGAAUUGGAAGCAAAGUGGGGACCCAUCAAUUAGGUCAUAGCUGAAUAAUUUGUGGUAUAUGCAUGUAAUGGAUUGUUGCAAUAAUCCAUUAUAUCACAACACAAUCCAUUACAUCACAAACACAAUAAAUAUGAAGAAUUAAAAGAAACUUUGGAAGACUUACAUGAACUGAUGCAGAGAGAAGUACAGAACCAAGGAAACAAUUUACAUAAUGACUACAAUAAUGUGAAGGGAGGGGAAAAAGCAUUGAAAGUCAUACGAAAUUGAGUCAGUGUGCUGAUCAGCAUUGACUUCAGAGGACAGCAUACAUUUUCAUACAUGGGUAAUGUGUUGGUUUUGUUAUGCACUAUCAUUUACAUCCAUGUGAUUCAUCAGAAGUAGAUACAUGCAAUCAGAUUUUACAAGUUUCUGUCAUGAACAAGGAAGCCUGUAAACCCUUUUAUUGUUAUUACCAGAUUGACAAAUAGCUGCCUCAUUAUCCCUCAGCAAAGGGUCACCAACCUUCAUUCCUCUAUUUUUCCUAUGACUCUUAUGAUGAUCUCUUAUCUGACAGCACUUGUAUAUCCACGGGAAUAGCAUCCAUGUGAGCCAAUCAGUUGCUUCUUCCUUGGAGCCCAGCUCUUUCCUCUUAAUAAAAGAAUCAUAUUUGUUAA